RNAcentral lists this ribosomal RNA (1439 nucleotides) under uncultured bacterium. RNAcentral's name for it is "bacterial SSU rRNA". It matches the Rfam family "Bacterial small subunit ribosomal RNA". The record is from RNAcentral.
AGGGUUUGAUCAUGGCUCAGAACGUACGCUGGCGGCACGCCUAACACAUGCAAGUCGAACGAAGUAGCAAUACUUAGUGGCAGACGGGUGAGUAACAUGUAGGUAUCUGCCCUUUGGCCUGGAAUAACACGAGGAAACUUGUGCUAAUACCGGAUAAGUCUUUACGGAGAAAGCUUUAUGCACCAUUGGAUGAGCCUGCACUUGAUUAGUUUGUUGGUGGGGUAAUGGCCUACCAAGACUGUGAUCAAUAGCUGAUUUGAGAGGAUGAUCAGCCACAUUGGGACUGAGACACGGCCCAAACUCCUACGGGAGGCAGCAGUGGGGAAUCUUGCACAAUGGAGGAAACUCUGAUGCAGCGAUGCCGCGUGAGUGAAGAAGGCCUUUGGGUUGUAAAGCUCUUUCGUCGGGGAAGAAAAUGACUGUACCCGAAUAAGAAGGUCCGGCUAACUUCGUGCCAGCAGCCGCGGUAAUACGAAGGGACCUAGCGUAGUUCGGAAUUACUGGGCUUAAAGAGUUCGUAGGUGGUUGAAAUAGUUGGUGGUGAAAUCCCAGAGCUUAACUCUGGAACUGCCAUCAAAACUUUUCAGCUAGAGUAUGAUAGAGGAAAGCAGAAUUUCUAGUGUAGAGGUGAAAUUCGUAGAUAUUAGAAAGAAUACCAAUUGCGAAGGCAGCUUUCUGGAUCAUUACUGACGCUGAGGAACGAAAGCAUGGGUAGCGAAGAGGAUUAGAUACCCUCGUAGUCCAUGCCGUAAACGAUGUGUGUUAGACGUUGGAAAUUUAUUUUCAGUGUCGCAGCGAAAGCGAUAAACACACCGCCUGGGGAGUACGACCGCAAGGUUAAAACUCAAAUGAAUUGACGGGGACCCGCACAAGUAGUGGAGCAUGUGGUUUAAUUCGAAGAUACGCGCAGAACCUUACCAACACUUGACAUGUUCGUCGCGACUCUAAGAGAUUAGAGUUUUCGGUUCGGCCGGACGAAACACAGGUGCUGCAUGGCUGUCGUCAGCUCGUGUCGUGAGAUGUUGGGUUAAGUCCCGCAACGAGCGCAACCCUCACUUUUAGUUGCCAUCAUUUAGUUGGGCACUCUGAAAGAACUGCCAGUGAUAAGCUGGAGGAAGGUGGGGAUGACGUCAAGUCCUCAUGGCCCUUACGUGUUGGGCUACACACGUGCUACAAUGGUAUCUACAACAGGAAGCAAAACUGCGAGGUUAAGCAAAUCCUUAAAAGAUACCUCAGUUCGGAUUGCACUCUGCAACUCGAGUGCAUGAAGCUGGAAUUACUAGUAAUCGUGGAUCAGCGUGCCACGGUGAAUGCGUUCCCGGGUCUUGUACACACCGCCCGUCACACCAUGGGAGUUGGUUCUACCUUAAGGCAAGGUUUCAAACCCUUGACCACGGUAUAGUCAGCGACUGGGGUGAAGUCGUAACAAGGUAGCCGUA